GACGAACGCUGGCGGCGUGCUUAACACAUGCAAGUCGAACGGAAAGGCCCUGCUUUUGUUGGGUGCUCGAGUGGCGAACGGGUGAGUAACACGUGAGUAACCUGCCCUUGACUUUGGGAUAACUUCAGGAAACUGGGGCUAAUACCGGAUAUGAGCUCCUGCUGCAUGGUGGGGGUUGGAAAGUUUCGGCGGUUGGGGAUGGACUCGCGGCUUAUCAGCUUGUUGGUGGGGUAGUGGCUUACCAAGGCUUUGACGGGUAGCCGGCCUGGGAGGGUGACCGGCCACAUUGGGACUGAGAUACGGCCCAGACUCCUACGGGAGGCAGCAGUGGGGAAUAUUGCACAAUGGGCGGAAGCCUGAUGCAGCAACGCCGCGUGCGGGAUGACGGCCUUCGGGUUGUAAACCGCUUUCGCCUGUGACGAAGCGUGAGUGACGGUAAUGGGUAAAGAAGCACCGGCUAACUACGUG
This 468-nucleotide ribosomal RNA is filed under the name uncultured bacterium. RNAcentral's name for it is "partial 16S ribosomal RNA". It matches the Rfam family "Bacterial small subunit ribosomal RNA", at positions 28 to 507 of the family's 1533-position model. The record is from RNAcentral.